GCGCCGCUAGCUCAACUAGGCAGAGCAACGGACUCUUAAUCCGUGGGUUGAAGGUUCGAUUCCUUCGCGGCGUACCA
This 77-nucleotide transfer RNA is filed under the name candidate division TA06 bacterium DG_24. RNAcentral describes it as "tRNA-Lys". It matches the Rfam family "tRNA". From Rfam's summary of the family: Transfer RNA (tRNA) molecules are approximately 80 nucleotides in length. Their secondary structure includes four short double-helical elements and three loops (D, anti-codon, and T loops). RNAcentral also lists the same sequence under 3 other names. The record is from RNAcentral.